Long non-coding RNA from Passer domesticus (house sparrow), 496 nucleotides. RefSeq lists it as uncharacterized. NCBI's taxonomy places the organism in Eukaryota, Metazoa, Chordata, Aves, Passeriformes, Passeridae. The transcript is spliced from 2 exons. The record is from RefSeq and is a predicted model, not a curated record.
CAGCUCCCAGGGCAGUGGCAAGUCCCAGAAGGAACGGCAGUGGGGAGAUGAAAAGCCGGGAUGCAUGGAUGGAUGGGUGGACGGUGGCCAAGUCAAGCACUUGGCAAAGGUAAAUGAAGGCAAGACCAUUCUGUCUUCGCAUGGCAAACAGGAGAAUGCUUCUCGGGAUUCCUGCUACAUGGACUGAAGAACGGUGUUAACUCCGGAUGAAUUGUCUCAUUUCCCCACCUCUACAAGAACCACCAGGACACCAGUGCAGAGAAGCAUAGAGUGAUGAAGGACCAAUGGGGAGCCAAGAGUCUUGUGCUGUCCUCUGUUUGAUCUCUUCCCCACCCCAGCCCUGAUAUUUCCCACACGUGUGCAGCCCCAGUCUUCCCCUCCUCACCCCAUCCUCAAUCUUCCCUCUCUUUCCUUCUGACUCUCCUCUUACCUAUCCCUUUCCAUCUCUCUACACCACAUUUGUUAUUAAAUAAGUUCUCUGUUGUUGACUUUGGUA